Long non-coding RNA from Oncorhynchus nerka (sockeye salmon), 439 nucleotides. RefSeq lists it as uncharacterized. The record is from RefSeq and is a predicted model, not a curated record. The transcript has 3 exons. NCBI's taxonomy places the organism in Eukaryota, Metazoa, Chordata, Actinopteri, Salmoniformes, Salmonidae.
CCCCAACUCUGGGACAUACAGUAUGAUGCCACCAGUCUGCUUGCAGUUGUCAGUUAUCGUCAGCCAAGUCCCCUCCUGUUCCCUGAUUAAGAGGUGAUGACCACUCCACUCGACUACCAUUGUCAACUCUCUCCUGACAUGAACUGAAGCCAUGUCUCAUGUGCCCUUUCAUCCACUGGCACAUAGAAUGUUUCCUCUCCAAUCACUUCAAAUCCUGUCCUGCACUGAAGUCAAGCCUCGGAACACCUCUACCCAUGCCUCAUACCCUCAUUCAACCACUACUGUGAUCCCUUCCCAAAACUGGAUAAGUUGCUGGAUAAGUUGCCUUCUCAUGGGUCUCCCAUCCUCCUCAAUUUCUCAAGUCACCAGCCUCCACUGAUCAUUUUACAUCCAACUUUGGCUACCAUAGCCUGGACGACGGUAGCCAGACACUUAUCCC